UGAGCGUUCUGUAAGCCUGCGAAGGUGUCUUGUAAAGGAUGCUGGAGGUAUCUGAAGUGCGAAUGCUGACAUGAGUAGCGAUAAUGGGGGUGAAAAGCCUCCACGCCGUAAGCCCAAGGUUUCCUGUUCAACGUUCAUCGGAGCAGGGUGAGUCGGCCCCUAAGGCGAGGCAGAGAUGCGUAGCUGAUGGGAAGCAGGUUAAUAUUCCUGCACCGUCGUUAGAUGCGAUGGGGGGACGGAUCGCGGAAGGUUGUCCGGGUGUUGGAAGUCCCGGUAUCUGUAUCAGAGAAGGCUGUUAGGCAAAUCCGGCAGCGUAAUUCAAGGGUAUGGGUCGAGCGAACAUGUUCGCAAGCAAUCGGAAGUGGUUCCAAGAAAAGCCUCUAAGCUUCAGUCUAACGAGACCGUACCGCAAACCGACACAGGUGGGCGAGAUGAGUAUUCUAAGGCGCUUGAGAGAACUCGGGAGAAGGAACUCGGCAAAUUUGUACCGUAACUUCGGGAUAAGGUACGCCCCGGUAGUUUGACUGGCCUGCGCCAGAAGGACGAAAGGGCUGCAAUAAAAAGGUGGCUGCGACUGUUUAAUAAAAACACAGCACUAUGCAAACACGAAAGUGGACGUAUAUGGUGUGACUCCUGCCCGGUGCUGGAAGAUUAAAUGAUGGGGUGCAAGCUCUUGAUUGAAGUCCCAGUAAACGGCGGCCGUAACUAUAACGGUCCUAAGGUAGCGAAAUUCCUUGUCGGGUAAGUUCCGACCUGCACGAAUGGAGUAACGAUGGCCACACUUCUCCUCCCGAGACUCAGCGAAGUUGAAAUGUUUGUGAUGAUGCAAUCUACCCGCGGCUAGACGGAAAGACCCCAUGAACCUUUACUGUAGCUUUGCAUUGAAUUUUGAACCAAUCUGUGUAGGAUAGGUGGGAGGCUUUGAAGCGUGAACGCUAGUUUGCGUGGAGCCAACCUUGAAAUACCACCCUGGUUUGUUUGAGAUUCUAACCUUGGACCGUUAUCCGGUUUGGGGACAGUGCAUGGUAGGCAGUUUGACUGGGGCGGUCUCCUCCUAAAGUGUAACGGAGGAGUUCGAAGGUACGCUAGGUACGGUCGGACAUCGUGCUAAUAGUGCAAUGGCAUAAGCGUGCUUAACUGCGAGACUGACAAGUCGAGCAGGUACGAAAGUAGGACAUAGUGAUCCGGUGGUUCUGUAUGGAAGGGCCAUCGCUCAACGGAUAAAAGGUACUCUGGGGAUAACAGGCUGAUUCCUCCCAAGAGUUCAUAUCGACGGGGGAGUUUGGCACCUCGAUGUCGGCUCAUCACAUCCUGGGGCUGUAGCCGGUCCCAAGGGUAUGGCUGUUCGCCAUUUAAAGUGGUACGUGAGCUGGGUUUAAAACGUCGUGAGACAGUUUGGUCCCUAUCUGCCGUGGGCGUUGGAAAUUUGAAGGGGGCUGCUCCUAGUACGAGAGGACCGGAGUGGACGAACCUCUGGUGUACCGGUUGUCACGCCAGUGGCAUUGCCGGGUAGCUAAGUUCGGAAGAGAUAACCGCUGAAAGCAUCUAAGCGGGAAACUUGCCUUAAGAUGAGAUUUCCCGGGAACUAGAUUCCCCUAAAGGGUCGUUCGAGACCAGGACGUUGAUAGGUCAGGUGUGGAAGUCA
This 1645-nucleotide ribosomal RNA is filed under the name metagenome. Its description in RNAcentral is "bacterial LSU rRNA". It matches the Rfam family "Bacterial large subunit ribosomal RNA", at positions 1233 to 2876 of the family's 2925-position model. The record is from RNAcentral.